CACUCUUAUUGAAUGCUGUUUCUGUUUGUGUGAAAAAUAUCUCAUCUCAUCUCUGUAGCUUCUCUAUCCGAUUCUCAUUUCUUUACUUCAAAUAUGAUUUGUAAAUACGGAAAAUCUGACUUUUAUGAAGUGGGUUAUGUAAAUUGAGGUGAAAUGUUUGGUUUCUUCGGCAAUGUGGUUGUUGUUGUGAGAGUCCGAAUUCAGAGACUUCUUGAGAUUCUGAUGUUUUUUAAGUUGAAAUUUCGAUCCAAUCGACAGCAAAGUCCAGGACUGAAGGUAACCAUUUUGAGUUUACUUAAUGUCAUCGCAGUCGAGUGCCCAUUAUUCACUUUUCCAUCAAUCACCACUGACUGCAAGGCACCUGUCUGUAAUAACCACUGACGAUAGGACUAUGAGGCACAAGUCAUACUAGGAAGAUUUCCUCAUCGGCAUGAGAUAUUUUAACGGACCCGUCCAAGAAUACUACAGAUUCGGCGGAAGAAGUAAUGCCUUGGCGGCUGAACAAAUAUGUUUAAAAAAAUAAGGCUUCACUUCGACUCAGAAAUAGCUGAGGCACUGGCCAUCAUAGCCAGCAUGGGCUAAAGAGAGAAAUGAAAAGAAGAUGCUGAUUUUUUGUUUUGUGAUAGCAAGAAUAUGUAUAAUCUUGUGAUGGGUGAAGUCAACAGUUGCUGCUGGACAACCAAGGGAAUUAUUGGAGAUAGCUGGUAGUUUCUUGAAUUUUUUGAUGACUUUUAAAUUCUUAGUGUUGAUAGAAAAGAUGUUAGUAGUAUAGCAGAUAUAUUAGUUAAGUAUGCUAGGAAAGCUAAUGCCAAACUCUUGGACUCUAUAAAUCUAUCUUCUCGGGACAAAGUGUCGGUCCCUGUAUCAUCUCCCAUAAUAAA
Molecule: long non-coding RNA, 881 nt
Organism: Papaver somniferum (opium poppy)
Lineage: Eukaryota; Viridiplantae; Streptophyta; Magnoliopsida; Ranunculales; Papaveraceae
Exons: 4
Source: RefSeq, a predicted model, not a curated record